This 450-nucleotide ribosomal RNA is filed under the name uncultured bacterium. Its description in RNAcentral is "bacterial SSU rRNA". It matches the Rfam family "Bacterial small subunit ribosomal RNA", at positions 29 to 524 of the family's 1533-position model. The record is from RNAcentral.
AACGAACGCUGGCGGCAUGCCUAACACAUGCAAGUCGAACGAGACCUUCGGGUCUAGUGGCGCACGGGUGCGUAACGCGUGGGAAUCUGCCCUUGGUUCGGAAUAACAGUUAGAAAUGACUGCUAAUACCGGAUGAUGACGAAAGUCCAAAGAUUUAUCGCCGAGGGAUGAGCCCGCGUAGGAUUAGCUAGUUGGUGAGGUAAAGGCUCACCAAGGCGACGAUCCUUAGCUGGUCUGAGAGGAUGAUCAGCCACACUGGGACUGAGACACGGCCCAGACUCCUACGGGAGGCAGCAGUGGGGAAUAUUGGACAAUGGGCGAAAGCCUGAUCCAGCAAUGCCGCGUGAGUGAUGAAGGCCUUAGGGUCGUAAAGCUCUUUUACCAGGGAUGAUAAUGACAGUACCUGGAGAAUAAGACUCCGGCUAACUCCGUGCCAGCAGCCGCGGUAAU